GACGAACGCUGGCGGCGUGCUUAACACAUGCAAGUCGAACGGAAAGGCCCUGCUUUUGUGGGGUGCUCGAGUGGCGAACGGGUGAGUAACACGUGAGUAACCUGCCCUUGACUUUGGGAUAACUUCAGGAAACUGGGGCUAAUACCGGAUAGGAGCUCCUGCUGCAUGGUGGGGGUUGGAAAGUUUCGGCGGUUGGGGAUGGACUCGCGGCUUAUCAGCUUGUUGGUGGGGUAGUGGCUUACCAAGGCUUUGACGGGUAGCCGGCCUGAGAGGGUGACCGGCCACAUUGGGACUGAGAUACGGCCCAGACUCCUACGGGAGGCAGCAGUGGGGAAUAUUGGACAAUGGGCGCAAGCCUGAUCCAGCCAUACCGCGUGGGUGAAGAAGGCCUUCGGGUUGUAAAGCCCUUUUGUUGGGAAAGAAAAGCAGCAGGUUAAUACCCCGCUGUUCUGACGGUACCCAAAGAAUAAGCACCGGCUAACUUCGUG
This 488-nucleotide ribosomal RNA is filed under the name uncultured bacterium. Its description in RNAcentral is "partial 16S ribosomal RNA". It matches the Rfam family "Bacterial small subunit ribosomal RNA", at positions 28 to 507 of the family's 1533-position model. The record is from RNAcentral.